GUGCUCACUUCGGCAGCACACAUACCAAAAUUGGACAAUACAGAGAUUAGCAUGGCCCCUGCGCAAGGAUGACAUGCAAGUUCAUGAAGCGUUCCAUAUUUUU
Molecule: small nuclear RNA, 103 nt
Organism: Suncus etruscus (white-toothed pygmy shrew)
Lineage: Eukaryota; Metazoa; Chordata; Mammalia; Eulipotyphla; Soricidae
Source: RefSeq, a predicted model, not a curated record